CAGUAGCCGCGGUAAAACGAAGGGGGCUAGCGUUGUUCGGAAUUACUGGGCGUAAAGGGCGCGUAGGCGGCCAUUCAAGUUAGAUGUGAAAGCCCUGGGCUCAACCUAGGAAUUGCAUUUGAUACUGUUUGGCUUGAGUCCGGAAGAGGCAAGUGGAAUUCCUGGUGUAGCGGUGAAAUGCGUUGAGAUCGGAAAGAACACCAACGGCGAAAGCACUCUGCUGGGCCGACACUGACACUGAGAGACGAAAGCUAGGGGAGCAAAUGGGAUUAGAGACCCCCGUAGUCCCUGUCUCUUAUAC
Molecule: ribosomal RNA, 301 nt
Filed under: uncultured bacterium
Lineage: Bacteria
Description: partial 16S ribosomal RNA
Rfam family: Bacterial small subunit ribosomal RNA
Source: RNAcentral